GUGCUUGCUUCGGCAGCACAUAUACUAAAAUUGGAAGGAUACAAAGAAGAUUACCAUGGCCCCUAUGGUAGGGGGAGGCGGGGUGGGGGGAAAGUGAGGAUGGUUAA
This is a small nuclear RNA of Pan troglodytes (chimpanzee), 107 nucleotides long. Lineage: Eukaryota; Metazoa; Chordata; Mammalia; Primates; Hominidae. The record is from Rfam.